ACAAGAGCUGCGAAGCCACGCCCCUUCCUGCUGACACACUGCAGCCAGCUGCAGCACGCUGAGGACAGGCGCUGUUGUAAAGUUAUUUGCUUGUUGUUCUACAAACACAAAGCCAAAAAGAAAAACAGUUGAGGUAGGCUGGGUUACUUUCUACAUGAAGCUGUUGAUUCACCCCAAGAGCUCAACGUGCUCGAGAUCCAAAUUGAUCCAAACUACAUGUGAAAGGGAUGUCAAAGAAAUCUGGAAGUUCGACGUGUUCGAGAUCCAAAGAGGCUACUACACCUGAAAGGGAUGUCAAAGAAAUCUGGAAGAUAUAAAGUGAGAUAGACAACUUUCGGUGAUGCUACAAGGUGACUGUUCCAUGGAAAAUCUGACUGAAGGGAUAGAAAUGCUUGGAGAAGGCCGCCCCCUGCCGCCACUGAGGACAACUACACUAAUACAGACAAGAGCGCCUCAACAGUUACACACUCAAGAGUUGGGGUUUUGCCGUAUGCAACUAGCUACCAUCUCCAACGCUUGUGCAAAACAGAAAAGAAGUCAGGAGCCGGACACGAGGGGUGAACGGUGUGCCGAGAGCCGGAGAGACCUGGGACGAUGGAAAGAGGAAGGAGGAUCGGAUCACCUCGCCCACAGAGCCUCCCACGCCCGACACACUGAGCAGGGGGACUGAAGUAUGCCAAUAUGGCCAGCUUUCAAGCAAUCGCCCCUUGAAGCUCUCCCUGUGGCGAAGCUGAGGGAUCCCCCGCAUUGCACUGUGGGAAACGCCGACCUCAGCCUCGAACCACCCUUCCCGAUAUCUUCAGGUAAACUAGUCUAUGCAGCAGAGUGGAUGAGGAAAAAACAAAAAUAUUUCUCGAGGGGUGGGGGGAGAAGAGGAAGCAGAAAAAAGGUUCAAGGAAGAAGUCUUCAUCUUUGAAAGGCGGAGGGAGGAAG
Sebastes umbrosus (honeycomb rockfish) is the source of this 933-nucleotide long non-coding RNA. RefSeq lists it as uncharacterized. The record is from RefSeq and is a predicted model, not a curated record. The transcript has 7 exons. Lineage: Eukaryota; Metazoa; Chordata; Actinopteri; Perciformes; Sebastidae.